Molecule: ribosomal RNA, 1329 nt
Filed under: Apis nuluensis
Lineage: Eukaryota; Metazoa; Arthropoda; Insecta; Hymenoptera; Apidae
Description: 16S ribosomal RNA
Source: RNAcentral
AAUUAAUAUAUUUAAUUUUUGUAUUUGUAUUUGAGAUUAAUGUUAUAAUUUUUAAAAGUUUAAAAAAAAAGAAUGUUAAAUUAAUUAUUUUGAAUUCAUUUUUAUUUUUAUAAUUAAAGGUAAUGUAAAUGAAAAUUUAAAAUAUAAAAAAGUAGAAUUUUUUUUGUACCUUUUGUAUCAGGGUUGAUUAAAAUUUAUUUAAUAAAUUUAAAUAUCUCGAAAAUAAGUGAGCUAAAUUUAUAAAAUUUUUUUUGUUACAUUAAAAUUAUAAAUAUAAAUUUAGAGAUUAAAUGUCAUUCGAAUUUAUUGAUAUCUAGUUUUUUUAGAAAUAAAUUUAAUUUAGAUAUAAAAUUUUUAAUACAUUAAAAUUUAUUUAUAGUAUUAAUUUUUAUAUUAAAAAUUUAUGGGAUAAACUAUAAAUUUAUUAAUAAAAAUUUUUAAAUUUUAUUAUAGUAUUAUGAAAAUAAUAUUUUUUAUUAAUAUAAAAAAUUUAAUAAUUUAGUUAUUAAUUUUUAAAAAUUUAAGUUUUAAGUUUUAUUUAUUCUAUAAAAGUAUAUAUUUUAAUUUAAGAAAUAUAGAAAUAAUGAUUGAAUUAGUAAUAAAAGUGUAUUUAUUAAUAUAUAAAUUAUUUGUAUAUAUAUAAUUUAAAGGAACUCGGCAAAUUGAUUAUUCACCUGUUUAACAAAAACAUGGCCUAUUGAAUUUAAUUUUAGGUCGAUCUGCUCCAUGAAAUAAAUUUAAAUAGCUGCAGUAUAUUGACUGUACAAAGGUAGCAUAAUAAAUUGUCUUUUAAUUGAAGAAUUGAAUGAAUGAAUUGAUGAAAUAAAAACUGUCUCUAUAUUAUUAAAUGAAUUUAAAUUUUUAGUAAAAAUUCUGAAAUUUAAUUAUGGGACGAUAAGACCCUAUAGAAUUUUAUUUAAUAUAAUUAUUUAUUUAAAUUAUUUUUGAAUAUAUAAUUAAUUUAAAUUUGAUUGGGAGGAUUGGUAAAUAAAAAUAACUUUAUCUAAAAAUUAAUUUUGAUGAAAAGAUUUUUUUUUUUGACUUAUAAUUUAUGAUUAAAAGAAUAAAUUACCUUAGGGAUAACAGCGUAAUAUCUUUUGAUAGACCACAUUGAUAAAGAUGUUUGCGACCUCGAUGUUGAAUUAAGAGAAAAGUUAAACGCAGGAGUUUAAAAUUUUAAGUCUGUUCGACUUUUAAAAUCUUACAUGAUUUGAGUUCAAAUCGACGUAAGUCAGAUUGGUUUCUAUCUAUAAUAAAAUUAAAAUUAUUUGUACGAAAGGACUUUAAUUUUUAAAUUAUUUAUUUAAAUAAUUAAUAAAUAUAAAUUUG